GUUUCCUUCUCCUUUAACAGCAGUGGGCCCCUUAUACUUCCUGGACCCUCGCCCUGCAUGUAUAUGUGGACGCUCCUGGUUAUAAGAUAUUCACAGUAUAUACGGUACAUGGUAGAUGCCCAACCUGCAUUCCUACAAUUACUACAAUUAAUAAAUCGGACUGAAAGUUGAGCUGUUACGAGUUGUACUAUAUCCACAGCUAAAGGUUUAUAAUUUAGGUAUAUUAUCCCCUUAUUUAGGGCGUUCUCCAUUCCCUGCUUUAAAUUAGAAACAAACCCUUAAUUAAAAAAAAACCCCUACCCUACAUAGACCCCCCAGCCUAGCUGCCUGCCCCCGGGCAAAUGCCCCUAACUCUUUACUUACCCCUCUGUGCAGAUUCUGUCCAGCGGAGUUAACAGGCAAAAUCUUCUUAUUUUCGGGAAUAAUCGGAAUUAGACCGGCAAAGCGGCAUGCUGCGAAACUCACGGAAAUUGCCAAAGCACCAGUCUCAUUUUGAAGAUUACCGAAUCGGCUGAAGAAUCUGCAUGGAGGUGUUUUGAGGAUUUCACAAAGAUAAUAACAGCUACAUCAGCGUUACAGAAUGAGUAGAAAGACUGUCAGUAAUUUUUACAUGAGACUCUAGAAGAAAAGAUCAAAGAUUUUGAAAAAGCUGUACAAAAAGAAAAUCUUCUGCUGGAGGCAUCAGGACCUUGUCUUCCAGGUAGUAAAGUAAGAAAUGUCUCUGCGCUCCUCAUUUGUUUUAUAUGGAUAAGGUAAAAACGCUAAAACAAAAGAGAAGGGAACACCAUACAGAAAAUGCAACAGACAAUUGGACACCUGAGUGAUCAGCCGGUGGACUUAUCUCAUGUAUUAGUGCAGUUUGGCUAUUAAUGUUUGGCCAAGAAUGUAAAGCCAACAUUCAGGAAGAAAAAAGUUUAAGGUGUGAUAAAUGUAUGCUUUAACAGUACUUACUUUAAGAGCUCUUAGAUUAGUUGCUCCUAAGAGUUCCAGUGUCCUCCUGUUGUCCUAAAUGAUUAGAAACUGAUUAGUGAUCUAGAAUAAAGGACCACUUUA
Long non-coding RNA from Xenopus laevis (African clawed frog), 1053 nucleotides. RefSeq lists it as uncharacterized. Lineage: Eukaryota; Metazoa; Chordata; Amphibia; Anura; Pipidae. The transcript is spliced from 3 exons. The record is from RefSeq and is a predicted model, not a curated record.